GAUCGUUGUUGCCGCGGCCGAUAUGGAACCCAAGCAGUGGCGAAGGGAAUCGCAAGGCUCUUCCCUGACCAUUUUCUCCUGUCCCUGCGCGAGGCUGAGUUGUGAACUUGGGUUUGGUUUCUUUCUGCAAUCCCUGCAGGGCCAUAAAUUCUUGGCCCUUAAGACUGUUCUCGGUGGCCCAUAACAGACUCAGUGAUACCAUCAGUAACCACAAUUCACACUGGAGUCAAGUUAUCUGAUUCCCACACCAGUUGGAGAACUGGAGAUUCCUUAGAACUUUUAACUGUGAUGUUUUCAAAGUUGACGUGGAAAAUUUUACAUGAAGCUUAAAAAUACAACUAAUCUGUGAUGAUAGAGAUGAGAAGAGUUAAGCUCUAAAAUUAGAAGAGCAGUUCGUUUUGAGGCAGCAUUGAUUGGGAGGGAGCAUGGAGUAUAUAAUUACACAUUUCUAUAUAAUAUAAAAAUGUAUAGAUUUAAGAUUUAUGCAUUUUAUGUAAAUUGUACUACAAUAAAACGAAAAUGAAAGAAUAAGACAAAGAUGAUCAUAUAUAGUUUAAUCAAAUAUUUUGUACAAAGUAAUUUCUGUUAAACAUUUAUAUUUUUAUGUGUAUAUGUACCUUUUACGUGUAUGUGUUAAAGAUAUGCACUAAAAUGGUAAUAACUCCUCUGCCUAUUGGGAUAAUGGAGAGUUUUGUUACUUUU
This 702-nucleotide non-coding RNA is filed under the name Pongo abelii (Sumatran orangutan). Lineage: Eukaryota; Metazoa; Chordata; Mammalia; Primates; Hominidae. The record is from RNAcentral.